Molecule: long non-coding RNA, 687 nt
Filed under: Vigna radiata
Lineage: Eukaryota; Viridiplantae; Streptophyta; Magnoliopsida; Fabales; Fabaceae
Description: long non-coding RNA (VRAD_LNC011121)
Source: RNAcentral
GGCGGACACGGUCGGGUCUUGUUCCUCCACCCUCACUCUCAUUUUUGCAUCCAAUCUUCCACUAACUCCAACACCAACAUCAAGCGCUGCACUCAGAGUUGAAUCGCGUCUCCUUCUCCUAAAGUCCAAAGGAGAUCUCACAUUUUGGAAGAAACAAAGGGACGAUCUAAUUUUGUGCGUGGUCAUUUUACUCAACUCUCAGUAGCGUGGCCAUGGCUCCAAGGCUGCUGUACAGCGUGCUCUUUUGAUUAUUGUACCUUCUGUGAUUGGAUUCUUGGCUGCUCAUUGCAUACGGGACGGUGAUGGAGGGCAUGGCUGCCCCGGUUGGGAUACAGGGUUUGGGCCUACACCGAAACUUGUGUGCACCUCCUGGUUUCACAUUUCUGCACCCUUUUUUCUUAUCGUGCUUUUGUUAUCGUUAUUUCAUUCCCUUAUUUCUUUUUUAUUCGGUUGAUUUUUGUGUUGUUUUUUUUUUUAUUUUGGGUAUCGCUUGUAUGAUAAUUCCCAUCCCCUUAAAUUUUGGUUUUAUUUAUUAGUUGGAUUUUGUUUGUUUAUUGCGCCCUAAUUUUUUAUAAAAAAAAAAACUAUAAAACAAAACAUAAAAAAUAAAAAUGAUAAAAUAACAUAAAAAUAUAAAAUAUUAAAAUUACAAAAAUAAUUUCAGUAUUUAGCAUCUUUCAUUGUUUA